GCUUGCUCCUUUGACGUUAGCGGCGGACGGGUGAGUAACACGUGGGCAACCUACCCUAUAGUUUGGGAUAACUCCGGGAAACCGGGGCUAAUACCGAAUAAUCUGUUUUACCUCAUGGUGAAACACUGAAAGACGGUUUCGGCUGUCGCUAUAGGAUGGGCCCGCGGCGCAUUAGCUAGUUGGUGAGGUAACGGCUCACCAAGGCGACGAUGCGUAGCCGACCUGAGAGGGUGAUCGGCCACACUGGGACUGAGACACGGCCCAGACUCCUACGGGAGGCAGCAGUAGGGAAUCUUCCACAAUGGGCGAAAGCCUGAUGGAGCAACGCCGCGUGAGUGAAGAAGGUUUUCGGAUCGUAAAACUCUGUUGUAAGGGAAGAACAAGUACAGUAGUAACUGGCUGUACCUUGACGGUACCUUAUUAGAAAGCCACGGCUAACUACGUGCCAGCAGCCGCGGUAAUACGUAGGUGGCAAGCGUUGUCCGGAAUUAUUGGGCGUAAAGCGCGCGCAGGCGGUCCUUUAAGUCUGAUGUGAAAGCCCACGGCUCAACCGUGGAGGGUCAUUGGAAACUGGGGGACUUGAGUGCAGAAGAGGAAAGUGGAAUUCCAAGUGUAGCGGUGAAAUGCGUAGAGAUUUGGAGGAACACCAGUGGCGAAGGCGACUUUCUGGUCUGUAACUGACGCUGAGCGCGAAAGCG
This 698-nucleotide ribosomal RNA is filed under the name Bacillus cereus. RNAcentral describes it as "bacterial SSU rRNA". It matches the Rfam family "Bacterial small subunit ribosomal RNA", at positions 78 to 761 of the family's 1533-position model. The record is from RNAcentral. Lineage: Bacteria; Bacillati; Bacillota; Bacilli; Caryophanales; Bacillaceae.